RNAcentral lists this transfer RNA (70 nucleotides) under Ovis aries (sheep). It matches the Rfam family "tRNA". From Rfam's summary of the family: Transfer RNA (tRNA) molecules are approximately 80 nucleotides in length. Their secondary structure includes four short double-helical elements and three loops (D, anti-codon, and T loops). Lineage: Eukaryota; Metazoa; Chordata; Mammalia; Artiodactyla; Bovidae. The record is from Rfam by way of RNAcentral.
UCCUGUAGCUCAGCUGGUAAAGAAUCUGCCUGCAAAGCAGAUGACCCUGGUUCAAUUCCUGGGUCAGGAA